This is a long non-coding RNA of Stomoxys calcitrans (stable fly), 2515 nucleotides long. RefSeq lists it as uncharacterized. The transcript is spliced from 2 exons. NCBI's taxonomy places the organism in Eukaryota, Metazoa, Arthropoda, Insecta, Diptera, Muscidae. The record is from RefSeq and is a predicted model, not a curated record.
UGAGACAUGAGGGGGUUUUGGAGGCGGGUGUCCCCCACACUCUUGGCCCUAAAUUAUAAUUACAUAUUUUUGCUACAGCUGUCAUAGCUUUCGACUGAGUACCAUAUUGUCACAAUCGGCCAAUAUUUUUUUGAGAUUUAGGGGAUAGAGCCUAACUUCACAAUUGAGGCCACAUUUUUAUAUCACACUAGGACCACGCUUUGAUUUGAGACCAACAUUACCCCAAUCAUCCUAGUGUACUUUUUGGAAUUUUUUUUCCUGGGUUGGGGCCAAAUUUUAUAUCAGAUUCGUAAUAUACAGCCGAAAUCGGCCAAUAUUUUUUUGAGAUUUAGGGGAUAGGGCCUAACUUCACAAUUGAGGCCACAUUUUUGUAUCAAACGAGGACCUUUCUUUCAUUUGAGACCCAUAUUAUCCCAAUUAUCCUAAUGUACUUUUUUGGGAUAUUUUUUGUGUGUUGGGUAGUGUUGGCCGACCUGACGAAACCGCGCAUAACUGUUGUUGUAGCAAAGUCUUCAGGUGGAGGUGGCGGUCCUCGUCAAGCACCUGCAGGUGAGCCAAAGGACCGAUCACCGCGGGAACAAGGUGGCCAUUGGUUAUUUAAAGGCGCCAAUAACUUGCCUUGUCAUAUCGAGCGUCAUAGGCACUCAGUAUUUGUGCAAGGUGGUGCAAGCCGGUGCCGCCCGGCAUUUCACUGAAACUCUCCACUCGAUACCGCUGAAUGUCCGUGACUGCCGUUGCAGCUGCUCAGUAUGGGGCCGGUAGCUAGCAGCUUAGUUUCUCGUGACAGCAAUGGAACUCAGACCCGUGCCGGGUCCGCAUAACUGUAAUACGCUUAAGUAAAAAAUCCCGCUUAAGUGGAAAUUCGUCUUAAGUGAAAAAUCCCGCUUAAGUGAAACUUGAUGAAAAUAACCAUUCAUUUUUGGUGUUAUUCUAUGCAUUCGCUUAACUGAAAAUAUCGCUAAAUUGAAAAUGUUUUUAAGUCCCAAAUUCCGUUUUUAUAUGAAACUGAAACGCACAAGUGAAAAAGUUAUUUCUAUGGGAGUCAAUGUGAAAUUGGAAAAAAUCGCCUCAUCAAUACAAUUCGCAACAACAUAUUUCAACACUUCAACACUUGUCUUUGGCUUUUAAAGGGCAACGGAAUUUCACUUAUCUGAACUACGCUUAACGGAAAAUAGCGAAUAAGUGAGGAUAAUUUUAAGCAUUUUACUUAUCCGGUUUCGACCGUCUCCCAAAUACCUUUCACUUGACACUAAAAUCGACCUGAUAGAGGUAAUGAUACGAAAUAUAUAGUUUUCAAAAAUUGCGGUAAAAAGGAGGAUGUUAUAUAAAAAACAUUUUUCCAAAUUUACAGAGCUAUACUAUACAAAAUUACCCAGCUAUACUGAUGUGGAAAAUAUUUUAAAAUGUCACAUGGGGUUAGCACAAUAGAUUUCUUCAAAUUUUAUCGAGAUUGGGGAAAAAUAAGAUCUUCAAUAUUUAGAGAUUUAUUUUGAAAAAAUAGAGACUCAAGAAGCCAUACAGAGGUUUCGUUUUAUUUUGAGACUAUAUCCAUUCAUUGACUUAAUCUGUGUGGGAUUUUGGUACUCCUGCGAAACUACCGCUGAAUAAUUUCUUCAGGCGUUUAGCGUCAUAGGCGAACAUGUGGCCUUUUACUUUGUUGUACUCACUUCACAAACGAGCUUUCGACAAAACUUCGUUAUAUGUGCGGCCUUUGAAGCCUCCACUUAGGAGGCAUUAGGUGAUUAAUCAAGUCCCCACCUAGGACAAAACGCGUCUCACUAUGGUUGGAGUGUGGUAAGCUAUGGCUUUCCUUUUCCAUUGCAAAAAAUCUUCAACCAUUAAGCACGUCUCGGAGGAGACAAACAAAUAUUGGAUAAAAUGAUGUUCUCCCUAAGAUGCAGAAAAAAUUGAAGUCUUCAUGAUUUCAUAAGCUCGCUCACUCGUUCGAUUGCGCCUAGCCAUUUAGAACAAUAGAACGCAUAAUUUUAGCAUUAAAAUCCUAAUUUCUUGAGUUUUACAACUGUCCUCCCCCUCCAACGCUUUGCUAAUGUAAAUGCUACAAUUUUUCUAAAUUGAAAAGUUGUUAUUGUUUUGAAUUUUAUAUAUUCUAAAUCGUAUAUAUGUAUGUAUGUAUGGCUAUGUAGUUUAGUGUAUUUGUUAUGUUUUCAAGUAUGUAAUAUUGAUUAAAUUAUAAAAAUCACAUUUACAUAAACUAUGAGUAAAAAUGUUGUUUGUUUUAGUAUUAGAAUGUGCCUUCAUUUAGUAAAGUUUAUGUAUCCGAAGUACAUGUGAACUCCACUUACUGCAUACUCGUAUUUGAAACCGCAUCUACCUUUAGUUCGAGCACUAUAAGACUCUUAAUUAAAUCAUUAAAAAUUUCAAUCGGGAAUACCUCACCUUGAAAUCUGUUAAUAUGAUAUUCAAAUAAUAAAUCUGAACUAUGUUAUAGAAACAUUCUCGAAAAUUUUAUAAGAGGAAGUAAAUAAAGUCUAGUUAUGUGUGUUAAAAAUUAAAA